This 1851-nucleotide ribosomal RNA is filed under the name Triticum aestivum (bread wheat). RNAcentral's name for it is "partial small subunit ribosomal RNA". The record is from RNAcentral. Lineage: Eukaryota; Viridiplantae; Streptophyta; Magnoliopsida; Poales; Poaceae.
AUGGAGGCUGCCAUGGAUGGUGGAUCAGUGAGAGCCACAAUGAGCAUCUUCGGCGAGAGCAUCAGUGGAAGAAGGGCAGACAAGAACAGAGCUCAAGAGAACCUGUCCUCUGAAAUGAAACAACGAGCAAAAUCUGACAUGGACAAGCUGAACGAGCGGAAGGCGUCCGUGGAUAACGAGCGAGCCGGCGCCGAGUCGGAGCUAUCCAGAGCACGAGCCAUGGCCAAGGAGCUGGAGCGCCAAAUCGACCAGACCAAGGCCAAGGCGACGUCCCAGAGGUCGGGGCUGCAAGCAACGUGGACACGGAAGAAUGGCGCCGAGGAGGCAUCGGACGCCCAGUACGCGGAGGUGUCGCAAGAGCUGGACCGCGUCAAGAGGGAGCUCCGCAAGCUGAAGCUGGAGGUGAAGUCCGCGGCGGAGGCCAAAGCCAAGGCCGAGAGCGACGUCGUGGCGACGGUGUGCAAGAUCCAGUCCAACCUGCAGGCCGCCGACGAGAUGAAGCGGCGCGUGGAUGAGGCAAACGAGGAGCACGUCCUGGUGGAGCUCGCGCGCAUCGAGGCCGAGCGGGAGCGCCGCGAGCUGGAGGCCCAGCACGUCGCCGAGGCAGAGCGGUUCGCCCGGGAGAUCGAGGCCGCGAGGUCCAAGGUGAAGGAGGCGCGCAGGGAGGUGAGCCGCGCGAGGGAGCUGGAGGCGAAGCUGGAGGCCACGAACGCCGACGUGGAGGUCCUGCAGGGCGAGAUGGAGCUGGUGCGCGCCAUGGAGAAGCACCACGUCCCGAACGACGGGGCGGCGGAGGAUACCACGAGACAGAAGAAAGAAGAGGCGCAGGACAGGGCGCUGCUGCAGGCCGCGGAGGCCGAGCUGUCCAUGGCGAAGAACGAGCUGGAGAGCAUCAAGGCGGGGGCGUUCCAGUUCAUGACCUCCAUGGACCGCACCCGGACCGAGAUCAUGGGGGUCGUCCAGGAGAUCGACCGGCUCAAGGCGCAGGAGAAGAACGCGGACGCGCAGGUGCAGCAGCUGAACGCGAAGCUCCUCAAGGCGAGGGCCCAGAUGGAGGCCGUCACGGCCGCCGACGAGAGGUCCAAGGCCAUCGUGUCGAACCUCACGGCGGCGAUGCAGCAGCUGCAUGCCGAGACCGAGGCGGCGAGCAAGGAAGAGGAGCUGACCAUGCUGGAGAAGCGGUGCGUGCUAGCAGAGGCGGACAACGUCGCCGCGGAGAUGGCCACGGCCGAGGAGCGGAUCAGGCAGUCUGUGAAGGAGCUGGAGGCGGCGAAGGCGUCCGAGACGUCGGCAAUGAAGAAGCUCAAGGCCGCCGUGGAGAGCACGAUGCAGGCCAGGUCGACCGCGGCGCCACGGCGGCAGGGGACUAUAACCGUCUCGCGGUUCGAGUACGAGUACCUGAGCGGGCGGGCGGCGCUGGUCCGGGUGGUGGCCGACAAGAAGGUGGCCGCGGCGCAGGCGUGGGUGCAGGCGCUCAAGGCCAGCGAGAAGGAGGUGGCGAUGCGGACCGAGGCGGCGGAGCGGGAGAUGAGGGAGAUGGGCCCCAGGGAGGCGCAGGCGGCGUCGGAGGCGGAGAAGACGGUGGGCGAGCAGAAGGCGCUGGAGCAGGAGCUGUACGACCUGAACGCGACGGCGGAGAGUGUGGGCCUGCAGUGCGCGUACCCGCGGCGGAGGUCGAGCAGGGUGUCGGCGACGUCGAAGAGGUCCAAGGGUCGGCGGUCGUCGGUGUCCGCGGCGAACUGGAACCCCAAGUCGCCGUCGUUCACCAUCAAGAGGAAGAAGAAGAUGAUGCCCAGCCUCCUGAAGCUCAUCAAGGAGAAGAGAGGCGGCAGCGACAAGAGCACCAACUGA